Long non-coding RNA from Ictalurus punctatus (channel catfish), 1636 nucleotides. The record is from Ensembl. NCBI's taxonomy places the organism in Eukaryota, Metazoa, Chordata, Actinopteri, Siluriformes, Ictaluridae.
UAAUUAUUUUCCCUCAGUCAUAGUAUGAGUUACUUUCUUUAAGACUUAAAAAAAAUUCUACUUUUGACACAUUUUCACAUUCUGCAUGUGCAUUAAAAUUAUUUUUUUUUUUUUUGCACACUCAAUAUAAUACUGCUGACUUGAUAUUUCACCCAGAAAUCUCACUCUGAAGUUGAAUUGUGUCUGUGGUGUCUGUGGCAGCAGUCUGCUGUCUUGUUUUGUGCGUUCUGUGACGUGUACCAGUUUCAGAUAGUGUCUUUAGUAAAAGUCUGUCAUGCAUCAGUUUUCCUUUCAAAGUGCUGCGGAACCCAGACAAGUCAGUCAGGCGAUCAUAAAAGCUGUUUGUCUGCACGAACACCCAGAGCCGGAAAGAGUGGAAAGAGUCCUGAGGAAAUAUUCAUCGAGCUGCCAAUCUGCCUUUAGAAAGGGAAAACACAGUAACCAACAAUAAAUGUAUGAUUUGAAAAUAAAAAGACCUUAACUGUAUUUAAAAAUUACCUUCAUUACAUUUUUUUUGUAAUGCACUACCACAAUUUUUAAUAAAUGGUUUCAGAAUGGAAACACGUUGUACUGAAAAGUACAGAAAUAAAUUCUAAACAAAUUUUCCUUGUUUAUUUUGAGCAAAAAGAAAAAGAUAUAAUGCUAUGAAGCAGAUUUUGCAUAGUUAUAUUUACACAAAUAAUUGUGCCCAUGAUAAUAUAAGUAAGUAAGCAAGUCAUUUAGAAGUACAAGUAAGUAAACAUUACCCCUUGCCUCUCAACACCAAAUGCCCAAGCAAAUAAUCUUUAAUAAUUAUAAUUGCUUGAAAAUCUUCCAGAUGCUCAGGACAUUUCUUAACUAGUACUUUCGGACUACCACACCUAAAAUAUACCGGUCUAUGUAUUCUCACACUCUUGUGUUAUUCUUGGACCUGACACCUGUAGGUGUGUAUGGUAUGUCUCCAUGGCUGACUAUGUGUGCAUCUAUCAGGUGUGGUUUUAGGAGACUGAGGCAUUUUGUUUUGUUCUUGUUUUAUUCUUGUGUGGUUUCUGGAGACCAGAUAUAAUACAACAUUGACGUUCGUGUACGAGUGUGUGCAGCCGACGUCUCGCAGAACGAGUGCAACUUUUUGCAUGCAAGAUCUGGGCGUGCUCAGUUUAUAAUCUCUGACAUGAUGUCUCCUUCUCUGUAGUACGGAGUAAAUUUACUAUCCCAGUGUAUCUGGUGUUCUCUGUUCUUCCACGUGAUUGUGUGCUGGUGCUCCUUUCUCUCUGGUCUGUAUCAGUGGGCUGGUCUCCUGUGCCUGCUCUGCUGAUAAUCAGUGUCUCUCUUCAGCUGGCUCAGUUCAGCAGGAACAGGGGCCUGGUCUUGCCAACAUAACACCUUAGAGACACAUAUCCACAUCCACCCACACACACACACACACACACACACACACACACACACACACACACACACACAGAUGCACGCCACCAGACGUACAUUCUGGGAGAAUCCAUACUCCCGCACCUUCCACAGCUGGGAUCCAGAGCGUGAUGGCUAUAUACAGUUGAUUUAAGUUAUGAAUGUGAUAAUGUGUGAUAAUAAUACUAUAGCCUACCAAUUAUGGACUGGCGCCAGUGACAUCAAUAAAACUGAGACAUCAAUAAAAGCUAAG